RNAcentral lists this ribosomal RNA (495 nucleotides) under uncultured bacterium. RNAcentral describes it as "partial 16S ribosomal RNA". It matches the Rfam family "Bacterial small subunit ribosomal RNA", at positions 28 to 507 of the family's 1533-position model. The record is from RNAcentral.
GAUGAACGCUGGCGGCGUGCCUAAUACAUGCAAGUAGAACGCUGAAGGAGGAGCUUGCUCUUCUGGAUGAGUUGCGAACGGGUGAGUAACGCGUAGGUAACCUGCCUGGUAGCGGGGGAUAACUAUUGGAAACGAUAGCUAAUACCGCAUGACAACAGUUAUUGCAUGAUAACUGUUUAAAAGGGGCAACUGCUCCACUACCAGAUGGACCUGCGUUGUAUUAGCUAGUUGGUGAGGUAACGGCUCACCAAGGCGACGAUACAUAGCCGACCUGAGAGGGUGAUCGGCCACACUGGGACUGAGACACGGCCCAGACUCCUACGGGAGGCAGCAGUAGGGAAUCUUCGGCAAUGGACGGAAGUCUGACCGAGCAACGCCGCGUGAGUGAAGAAGGUUUUCGGAUCGUAAAGCUCUGUUGUAAGAGAAGAACGAGUGUGAGAGUGGAAAGUUCACACUGUGACGGUAUCUUACCAGAAAGGGGCGGCUAACUACGUG